RNAcentral lists this ribosomal RNA (598 nucleotides) under Nakaseomyces glabratus. RNAcentral's name for it is "[Candida] glabrata partial large subunit ribosomal RNA". It matches the Rfam family "Eukaryotic large subunit ribosomal RNA", at positions 44 to 647 of the family's 3401-position model. The record is from RNAcentral. Lineage: Eukaryota; Fungi; Ascomycota; Saccharomycetes; Saccharomycetales; Saccharomycetaceae.
CAAUAAGCGGAGGAAAAGAAACCAACUGGGAUUGCCUUAGUAACGGCGAGUGAAGCGGCAAAAGCUCAAAUUUGAAAUCUGGUACCUUUGGUGCCCGAGUUGUAAUUUGGAGAGUACCACUUUGGGACUGUACUUUGCCUAUGUUCCUUGGAACAGGACGUCAUGGAGGGUGAGAAUCCCGUGUGGCGAGGGUGUCAGUUCUUUGUAAAGGGUGCUCGAAGAGUCGAGUUGUUUGGGAAUGCAGCUCUAAGUGGGUGGUAAAUUCCAUCUAAAGCUAAAUACAGGCGAGAGACCGAUAGCGAACAAGUACAGUGAUGGAAAGAUGAAAAGAACUUUGAAAAGAGAGUGAAAAAGUACGUGAAAUUGUUGAAAGGGAAGGGCAUUUGAUCAGACAUGGUGUUUUGCGCCCCUUGCCUCUCGUGGGCUUGGGACUCUCGCAGCUCACUGGGCCAGCAUCGGUUUUGGCGGCCGGAAAAAACCUAGGGAAUGUGGCUCUGCGCCUCGGUGUAGAGUGUUAUAGCCCUGGGGAAUACGGCCAGUCGGGACCGAGGACUGCGAUACUUGUUAUCUAGGAUGCUGGCAUAAUGGUUAUAUGCCG